GUAACAGAUCGCUGUGAUCCCUUCGGGGUGAACUUGAUGCUGACGAGUGGCGAACGGGUGAGUAACGCGUAGGAAUCUACCUUUCAGUGGGGGAUAGCUCGGGGAAACUCGAAUUAAUACCGCAUACACCCUUCGGGGGAAAGGGGGCCUCUCCUUGGAAGCUCUCGCUGUUAGAUGAGCCUGCGUGAGAUUAGCUUGUUGGUAAGGUAAUGGCUUACCAAGGCUACGAUCUCUAGCUGGUCUGAGAGGACGAUCAGCCACACUGGGACUGAGACACGGCCCAGACUCCUACGGGAGGCAGCAGUAGGGAAUAUUGGACAAUGGGGGCAACCCUGAUCCAGGCAUGCCGCGUGUGUGAAGAAGGCCUUAGGGUUGUAAAGCACUUUAAGUGAGGAAGAAAAGAUUUGAAUUAAUACUUUAAGUCCCUGACAUUACUCACAGAAUAAGGACCGGCUAACUCCGUGCCAGCAGCCGCGGUAAUACGGAGGGUCCAAGCGUUAAUCGGAAUUACUGGGCGUAAAGCGCGCGUAGAUGGUUUAUUCAGUUGGGUGUGAAAUCCCUGGGCUCAACCUAGGAACUGCAUUCAAAACUUAUAAACUAGAGUACGAAAGAGGAGAGUAGAAUUCAUGGUGUAGCGGUGAAAUGCGUAGAGAUCAUGAGGAAUACCAGU
Molecule: ribosomal RNA, 670 nt
Filed under: uncultured Gammaproteobacteria bacterium
Lineage: Bacteria; Pseudomonadati; Pseudomonadota; Gammaproteobacteria
Description: bacterial SSU rRNA
Rfam family: Bacterial small subunit ribosomal RNA
Source: RNAcentral